CUUAUGGAGAGUUCAAUCCUGGCUCAGGAUGAACGCUGGAGGAAUGCUUAACACAUGAAAGUUGGAUGGGAAACAUGGUAAACGGUGUUUCCAGUGGUGGACGGGUGAGUAAAGCAUUAGAACCUGGCGUUGGGAUGGGAACAAUAGCCGAAAACGACCGCUAAUACCCCGUAGGCUGAGGAGCAAGAGGAGGAAUUCGCCUGAGAAAGGGUUCGCAUCUGAUUAGCAAUGAUGGGUCGUGAACUUAUUUUCCCAGAGAAGAAGCAAUGACAGUAUUUGGCGAAUAAGCAUCGGCUAACUCUGUGCCAGUAGCCACGAUAAUACAGUGGAUACAAGUGUUAUCCAGAAUGAUUGGUCGUAAAGCAUAUGUAGGUGGCUUUUUAAGUCCGCCGUCAAAUCCCAGGGCUCAAACCUGGACAGGCGGUGAAAACUACCAAGAUGGAGUACAAUAGGGGUAGAGGGAAUUUCCAGUGGAGCAGUGAAAUUUGUAGAGAUCGGAAAGAACACUAGGUUUUUUUCCUCAGGUUGAAUAUGGUACUUGCAACCAUUCAAGAGAGUCACUUCCAAACCGUAUUGGUCAACUCAAGUCUAUUCUUAACCGCAUACCUCCAUA
Molecule: non-coding RNA, 613 nt
Filed under: Capsicum annuum
Lineage: Eukaryota; Viridiplantae; Streptophyta; Magnoliopsida; Solanales; Solanaceae
Description: Bacterial small subunit ribosomal RNA
Rfam family: Bacterial small subunit ribosomal RNA
Source: Rfam by way of RNAcentral